GGAAAGCGCUCGUUUAAUGCGCUCUCGCCCCCGCGGAGGCCCCCGCCCUUCGCCGCCGCCGUUGCUAAGCAACGCCCAGCCGGCUUCAGGGGAGCGUCUAGGCCCGCCGUGGGGAGGGGGAGGAAGGUUCAGGUGCUUUUUUCAUGAGACAACUGGACUUUUUCUUUGAAGAUGUUUCCCUUCUCAUCCAAGAAGCUUCUUCAGAAUCUCCGUAGACAUUCCUUCAUUCAGUGCCUUCAAGUCUGUAUUGACUCCUGGUGAUGGCCUGACUAGUCCCUGCAGUUUUUGUGGCUCCAAACCUUUUAAGAAGAGGUCUGCCGUGGCCUCCUUCCUAAGGCUGAGAGAGGAGCACUGGCUUACAAGUCACCCAGCUGGCUUUCUGCCUAAGGCAGGGCAGGACUAGAACUCGCAGUCUCCCAGCUAAGGCCUGACGCCUUAACCACUACACCAAAUGGGCUAAAAUAUCAGUUGCAUGGAAGGAAAUAAAAAGAAUGCAGGAAGAGAUAUACAGGUAAUAAUACAUCGGUCAUGUGAUGCGAGAGAGGUAUAAUAAAGAAUGAGUGUGGGCAGAUUGCACUUAUGGGCUGUAUUUGCACAUUUUAUCAAGAUGAAAAUAAAUAAAUCACAUGUUAAGUCAAA
Long non-coding RNA from Crotalus tigris (Tiger rattlesnake), 639 nucleotides. RefSeq lists it as uncharacterized. Lineage: Eukaryota; Metazoa; Chordata; Lepidosauria; Squamata; Viperidae. The record is from RefSeq and is a predicted model, not a curated record. The transcript is spliced from 2 exons.